UUUUUCUUUUCUUUUUUUUUUUUUUUUUUUUUUUUUUUUUUAAUCUUUUUAGGGUUGCACCUACAGCAUAUAGAAGUUCCCAGGCUAAGGGACCGAAUUGGAGCUGUAGCCACUGGCCUACGCCACAGCCACAGCCACAGCCACAGCCACAGCCACAGCCACAGCCACAGCCACAGCCACAGGGGAUCCGAGCCACACCUGGGACCUACACCACAGCUCACGGCAACACCAGAUCCUUAACCCACUGAGUGAAGCCAGGGAUCCAACCUGCGUCCUCAUGGAUACCCGUCAGAUUCAUCUCCAUAGGGCCACGACGGAACUCCCGAUUCUCCUAUUUUUUAAAAAAGGUAGGGAGUUCCCGUCAUGGCUAAACCAGGGUUAGCUGCUGUGAAUGGCAAGGGACCAGGAGUUACACUGUCCCCAAACUGGGACCCACCUGGUCUUGGCCAUGGCUCCCAGAUAGAGACGUGCCCUACUUACUGGUCCCCCAGAGGCAGAAGUCAGCUUCCUUUCAGCCUGAGGAAUCUCAGAGACAAUUUAGAAAGGCGAACUUUCUCUCAAGUCUCUGCCUCUGCCUGCUAGAAAAAGACGGCUCCCAGCUCUCAAAGGGUCUGCCCUGCUCACCCCCAGAAUGACAGGUGGACAGACAACAUUUCUGUUACCAGAAUCAGGCUGAAGAGAGCCUCCCACCCCACCCCUGAACCUCACGGAAUCCUCUCCUGGGGUGACCCAGGAGCGCCCCCUGCUGCCUAGCUUGUCUGAAGCCAGUGGCAGUGGAGGAAGGAAGGGGUGUGGAAGCCGAUUCUCACUGCCCCACCAGAAGGGGCCACACUUUCGGCUGCCCCACGGCCAUGCUGCCAGAGCCUGAAUCCGAGCUGGCUCCCCAGGCGUCGCCGAGGAGGGGACAACAGGAAAGACGACAGAGCAGGGUCCUGCAGCCGGGCCUCUAGGCCCAUGCCGGGAGAGAAGAGGCUGUGCCACAUUCAGUGAAUCACCUCAGUGAGGGUGGGGGGAGGCCCGCUUCCCCCCAGGACCUCCCCCAAGGUGCCAGUGAGACACGACCGAAUUUACCACCGAUAAUAUCGAUAACAGCAGCUGCUUCCAAAAGGAGCUCCAGCCCCACAUCCGUAAGCUCAGGAGAGGCUAGAAGAUUCUCCAGGUCUUUUAGUCUCUGAGUU
Molecule: long non-coding RNA, 1178 nt
Filed under: Sus scrofa (pig)
Lineage: Eukaryota; Metazoa; Chordata; Mammalia; Artiodactyla; Suidae
Description: lncRNA (ENSSSCG00055004200.1)
Source: RNAcentral